This 274-nucleotide ribosomal RNA is filed under the name uncultured bacterium. Its description in RNAcentral is "partial 16S ribosomal RNA". It matches the Rfam family "Bacterial small subunit ribosomal RNA", at positions 523 to 796 of the family's 1533-position model. The record is from RNAcentral.
CUACGGAGGGUGCAAGCGUUAUCCGGAUUUACUGGGUUUAAAGGGUACGCAGGCGGUAAUUUAAGUCAGUGGUGAAAGCCUACAGCUCAACUGUAGAACUGCCAUUGAAACUGAAUUACUUGAGUAUGGUAGAGGUAGGCGGAAUACAACAUGUAGCGGUGAAAUGCAUAGAUAUGUUGUAGAACACCGAUUGCGAAGGCAGCUUACUAACCCAUUACUGACGCUCAUGUACGAAAGCGUGGGGAGCGAACAGGAUUAGAAACCCUAGUAGUCC